Molecule: ribosomal RNA, 274 nt
Filed under: uncultured bacterium
Lineage: Bacteria
Description: partial 16S ribosomal RNA
Rfam family: Bacterial small subunit ribosomal RNA
Source: RNAcentral
AUACGGAGGAUGCGAGCGUUAUCCGGAUUUAUUAGGUUUAAAGGGUGUGUAGGCGGUAUUUUAAGUCAGUGGUGAAAUCUCGGAGCUUAACUUCGAAACUGCCAUUGAUACUGGAAUACUUGAGUAUAGUUGAGGUAGGCGGAAUAUGUAAUGUAGCGGUGAAAUGCAUAGAUAUUACAUAGAACACCGAUUGCGAAGGCAGCUUACUAAACUAUUACUGACGCUGAUGCACGAAAGCGUGGGGAGCGAACAGGAUUAGAUACCCUGGUAGUCC